AAUCUAUGGUUUCUUAUCACUAGGAUUGAAAACGCAUGAAAAGUUAUUUCGCGUGUUAUCCCUAGUUAUCUUAGUUUUUUAUCAAUGGGUAUUUUUUAUUUCGUAAGUUAAUUUGGCUGUUUAGUGUUCUAAUUUGUUAUAAAAAUAUAGGAUGGAAGAAGUAAUUUCAAUAUCAUCUGAUGAAGAAGACUUUGAACCAACUUCAAAAAAGGCAAAACUCGGUAAGGAUGUUGAUGACUGCAUAGUGAUUUCUGUUAAUGAGGGAAGAAGUAUCACUUCAGAUAGCACUAAACAGAUAAAAGAAGAAUCCAUUACAAUGGCAAGUGUGGACUCUCUAGAACCAUUAAAUGAAGAGGAGUUUUCAAAAGAAGUCAAAUCACAGAAUUUAGCGAUAAAUAACACUAAACAGAUAAAAGCAGAAUCCAUCACAAUGGCAAAUGUGGACUCACUAGAACCAUUAAAUGAAGAGGAGUUUUCAAAAGAAGUCAAAUCACAAAAUUUAGCGAUAAAUAGCACUAAUAUGGCUAACGGUGAAUCUAGUAAUAAUUCAUCAAAUUUUCAAAGAUGUUUGUCAGAGUUUUUAGAAUUAUGUGUAACAAUAGAAACCAAUGAAGCUUACAAAAAUGUGAUACUACAAAAGAUACCUUUAUUAAAAGAAGUUGCUGCUAGUAUUGAAUGUAAAUACUCUGAAUCAGAUCUAAUAGACUUAAUAGCAGCAAUCAAAUUAAAUAAAAAACAAGCAAAGGAAAAUCCAUCAAUGAUAUUAGUUUAUUAUGAUAAAAUAUAUAGGGAGCUUAAGUCUGCAUAUUAUACAAAAAACUAUGACACUAAUCCAAAAAAAGAGAAGAACAUUAGAGCUCUGGAGAAAGCAAUUUAUAACCUAAGAAAAAAAAUAAGUGCAUUGGAAGAGGCUGAAGUCGACUUUGAUGAAGAUGAAAAUUCUUCCUAUAUAAAAAUGCAAAGGUAUAUAAGUAUAAAAUAUGGUCAGUAAAAAGAAUAGUGAGUAAGAAAGUAACCAGGACAAGCAAUGAAACUGUACAUACUUGCAUGGGAUGGAUAUCUGAAAUGGUGCAUCCUACGAUUGGUAUCAAAUUUAUAAAACAAACUCAGUUAUCGAGUAGGUGGUGAAGAUACCUGAAUGAAUUUCUUUCUGUGACACGAACUGGAAGGGUAUCGAGAGAGAGCAGCCCAAUUAUAUAAAAGAUAUUGUGGGUAUAUCAAUGAAAAUCCAUACAAGGGCCGUCCAAGUUACAGUAGGU
This 1259-nucleotide unclassified non-coding RNA is filed under the name Agrilus planipennis (emerald ash borer). Its description in RNAcentral is "death domain-associated protein 6, transcript variant X5". Lineage: Eukaryota; Metazoa; Arthropoda; Insecta; Coleoptera; Buprestidae. The record is from RNAcentral.